GAUCAUGGCUCAGAACGAACGCUGGCGGCGCGUUUAAGCAUGCAAGUCGAGCGGCAAGGGCCUUCGGGCCCCUAGAGCGGCGGACGGGUGAGUAACACGUGGACAAUCUGCCCCCCGGCCCGGGAUAGCCCAGGGAAACCUGGAUUAAUACCGGAUGAGACGGGACCCGCGAUGGCGGGAUCCGGGAAAGGCGCUGCGGCGCCGCCGGGGGAUGAGUCUGCGUCCCAUUAGCUAGACGGCGGGGUAACGGCCCACCGUGGCGACGAUGGGUAGCCGGCCUGAGAGGGUGGACGGCCACAUUGGAACUGAGACACGGUCCAGACUCCUACGGGAGGCAGCAGCUAAGAAUCUUCCGCAAUGGGCGAAAGCCUGACGGAAGCGACGCCGCGUGAACGAAGAAGGCCGUGAGGUUGUAAAGUUCUUUUCGGGAGGGGGAACAACCGUGGCAGGGAAUGGCCGCGGGAUGACGUGAAUCCCGGAAUAAGCCCCGGCUAACUACGUGCCAGCCGCCGC
Molecule: ribosomal RNA, 513 nt
Filed under: uncultured bacterium
Lineage: Bacteria
Description: bacterial SSU rRNA
Rfam family: Bacterial small subunit ribosomal RNA
Source: RNAcentral